Molecule: ribosomal RNA, 806 nt
Filed under: Lacticaseibacillus rhamnosus
Lineage: Bacteria; Bacillati; Bacillota; Bacilli; Lactobacillales; Lactobacillaceae
Description: bacterial SSU rRNA
Rfam family: Bacterial small subunit ribosomal RNA
Source: RNAcentral
CAGUCGAACGAGUUCUGAUUAUUGAAAGGUGCUUGCAUCUUGAUUUAAUUUUGAACGAGUGGCGGACGGGUGAGUAACACGUGGGUAACCUGCCCUUAAGUGGGGGAUAACAUUUGGAAACAGAUGCUAAUACCGCAUAAAUCCAAGAACCGCAUGGUUCUUGGCUGAAAGAUGGCGUAAGCUAUCGCUUUUGGAUGGACCCGCGGCGUAUUAGCUAGUUGGUGAGGUAACGGCUCACCAAGGCAAUGAUACGUAGCCGAACUGAGAGGUUGAUCGGCCACAUUGGGACUGAGACACGGCCCAAACUCCUACGGGAGGCAGCAGUAGGGAAUCUUCCACAAUGGACGCAAGUCUGAUGGAGCAACGCCGCGUGAGUGAAGAAGGCUUUCGGGUCGUAAAACUCUGUUGUUGGAGAAGAAUGGUCGGCAGAGUAACUGUUGUCGGCGUGACGGUAUCCAACCAGAAAGCCACGGCUAACUACGUGCCAGCAGCCGCGGUAAUACGUAGGUGGCAAGCGUUAUCCGGAUUUAUUGGGCGUAAAGCGAGCGCAGGCGGUUUUUUAAGUCUGAUGUGAAAGCCCUCGGCUUAACCGAGGAAGUGCAUCGGAAACUGGGAAACUUGAGUGCAGAAGAGGACAGUGGAACUCCAUGUGUAGCGGUGAAAUGCGUAGAUAUAUGGAAGAACACCAGUGGCGAAGGCGGCUGUCUGGUCUGUAACUGACGCUGAGGCUCGAAAGCAUGGGUAGCGAACAGGAUUAGAUACCCUGGUAGUCCAUGCCGUAAACGAUGAAUGCUAGGUGUUGGAGG